GAUGAACGCUGGCGGCGUGCCUAAUACAUGCAAGUCGAGCGAACGGACGAGAAGCUUGCUUUUCUGAUGUUAGCGGCGGACGGGUGAGUAACGCGUGGAUAACCUACCUAUAAGACUGGGAUAACUUCGGGAAACCGGAGCUAAUACCGGAUAAUAUUUUGAACCGCAUGGUUCAAAAGUGAAAGACGGUCUUGCUGUCACUUGUAGAUGGAUCCGCGCUGCAUUAGCUAGUUGGUAAGGUAACGGCUUGCCAAGGCAACGAUGCAUAGCCGACCUGAGAGGGUGAUCGGCCACACUGGAACUGAGACACGGUCCAGACUCCUACGGGAGGCAGCAGUAGGGAAUCUUCCGCAAUGGGCGAAAGCCUGACGGAGCAACGCCGCGUGAGUGAUGAAGGUCUUCGGAUCGUAAAACUCUGUUAUUAGGGAAGAACAUAUGUGUAAGUAACUGUGCACAUCUUGACGGUACCUAAUCAGAAAGCCACGGCUAACUACGUG
Molecule: ribosomal RNA, 497 nt
Filed under: uncultured bacterium
Lineage: Bacteria
Description: partial 16S ribosomal RNA
Rfam family: Bacterial small subunit ribosomal RNA
Source: RNAcentral